RNAcentral lists this ribosomal RNA (468 nucleotides) under uncultured bacterium. Its description in RNAcentral is "partial 16S ribosomal RNA". It matches the Rfam family "Bacterial small subunit ribosomal RNA", at positions 28 to 507 of the family's 1533-position model. The record is from RNAcentral.
GACGAACGCUGGCGGCGUGCUUAACACAUGCAAGUCGAACGGAAAGGCCCUGCUUUUGUGGGGUGCUCGAGUGGCGAACGGGUGAGUAACACGUGAGUAACCUGCCCUUGACUUUGGGAUAACUUCAGGAAACUGGGGCUAAUACCGUAUAGGAGCUCCUGCUGCAUGGUGGGGGUUGGAAAGUUUCGGCGGUUGGGGAUGGACUCGCGGCUUAUCAGCUUGUUGGUGGGGUAGUGGCUUACCAAGGCUUUGACGGGUAGCCGGCCUGAGAGGGUGACCGGCCAAAGUGGGACUGAGAUACGGCACAGACUCCUACGGGAGGCAGCAGUGGGGAAUAUUGCACAAUGGGCGGAAGCCUGAUGCAGCAACGACGCGUGCGGGAUGACGGCCUUCGGGUUGUAAACCGCUUUCGCCUGUGACGAAGCGUGAGUGACGGUAAUGGGUAAAGAAGCACCGGCUAACUACGUG